Molecule: ribosomal RNA, 403 nt
Filed under: Amphidoma languida
Lineage: Eukaryota; Dinophyceae; Gonyaulacales; Amphidomataceae
Description: partial small subunit ribosomal RNA
Rfam family: Eukaryotic small subunit ribosomal RNA
Source: RNAcentral
GCUUGUCUCAAAGAUUAAGCCAUGCAUGUCUAAGUGUAAAUACGUCUACACUGUGAAACUGCGAAUGGCUCAUUAAAUCAGUUAUCGUUUAUUUGAUGAUCUCUUGUUACAUGGAUAACCGUAGUAAUUCUAGAGCUAAUACAUGCGUCAAGCCCCGACUCACGAAGGGGUGUAUUUAUUAGAUACAGAACCAGCCCAGGCUCUGCCUGGUCUUGUGGUGAUUCAUAAUAACCGAACGAAUCGUAUGGCAUCAGCUGGCGAUGAAUCAUUCAAGUUUCUGACCUAUCAGCUUCCGACGGUAGGGUAUUGGCCUACCGUGGCAAUGACGGGUAACGGAGAAUUAGGGUUCGAUUCCGGAGAGGGAGCCUGAGAAACGGCUACCACAUCUAAGGAAGGCAGCAGG